This 695-nucleotide ribosomal RNA is filed under the name uncultured Lachnospiraceae bacterium. Its description in RNAcentral is "bacterial SSU rRNA". It matches the Rfam family "Bacterial small subunit ribosomal RNA", at positions 36 to 729 of the family's 1533-position model. The record is from RNAcentral. Lineage: Bacteria; Bacillati; Bacillota; Clostridia; Lachnospirales; Lachnospiraceae.
CUGGCGGCGUGCUUAACACAUGCAAGUCGAACGAAGCACUUUACCUGAUUUCCUUCGGGGAUGAUUGUUCUGUGACUGAGUGGCGGACGGGUGAGUAACGCGUGGAUAACCUGCCUCACACAGGGGGAUAACAGUUGGAAACGACUGCUAAUACCGCAUAAGCGCACAGCACCGCAUGGUGCAGUGUGAAAAACUCCGGUGGUGUGAGAUGGAUCCGCGUCUGAUUAGCUUGUUGGCGGGGUAACGGCCCACCAAGGCGACGAUCAGUAGCCGGCCUGAGAGGGCGACCGGCCACAUUGGGACUGAGACACGGCCCAGACUCCUACGGGAGGCAGCAGUGGGGAAUAUUGCACAAUGGGGGAAACCCUGAUGCAGCGACGCCGCGUGAGCGAUGAAGUAUUUCGGUAUGUAAAGCUCUAUCAGCAGGGAAGAUAAUGACGGUACCUGACUAAGAAGCUCCGGCUAAAUACGUGCCAGCAGCCGCGGUAAUACGUAUGGAGCAAGCGUUAUCCGGAUUUACUGGGUGUAAAGGGAGCGUAGGCGGUCCUGCAAGUCUGAUGUGAAAGGCCGGGGCUCAACCCCGGGACUGCAUUGGAAACUGUAGGACUAGAGUGUCGGAGGGGUAAGUGGAAUUCCUAGUGUAGCGGUGAAAUGCGUAGAUAUUAGGAGGAACACCAGUGGCGAAGGCGGCUUAC